Molecule: long non-coding RNA, 808 nt
Filed under: Pan troglodytes (chimpanzee)
Lineage: Eukaryota; Metazoa; Chordata; Mammalia; Primates; Hominidae
Description: long non-coding RNA NONPTRT011443
Source: RNAcentral
GGCGGGCGCGGGCAGGGGAAGGAGGCGGAGGAGGAGCAGCGGGAGGAGGGGUCAGAGGAGAAGCGGGCGCGGGGAGGAAAAGCAGGAGGAGGCAGAGGCGGUCCGGGCCGGGCCUGACCCCUGCGUCCCGGGGGCACAGGCGUUCUUAAGGCUGCAGAGCCCUGGGUCCCCCACCCGGCCCCGGUUCACUUUGAGCGGUCCCAAGGCCUGAGGGCCUACUGUCCAGUCCCCGGGUUAUCGUCCUGAGCAAAGACAGACCCCGAGCCCUGCGGUCUUGGGGCUCAAACAGUCCCUGGAUGGCCAAACAAGCGAAUAUUCGCCAUGGCAGUGGGUGCUGGAAGGGUGGCUCACGGAGCUGACGCCCUCUGCAGAGAACCGUGGUCUAGUCCUGCGGUCACGAGGCCUAUCUGGGACAGUGGUGUUUGAGCUGAGACUUUAACGAAUAGAGACAGGUGAGGUUCCUGCAGCCCAGGGCAUCAGGCACUGUGCUAAGCAGUUUUCCUGGAAGUGUCUACCUCAUUUCGUUCGCUGAAUAGCUCUAAGAGUGUGAACAACCCCAGAAGGAAAAAGAGUGCUGUUGUUAAAGGUAUCUGGCAUCGUGGACCCAACCAUCACCAGGAGUUUCUCACUUCAUCUCUGCUUUAUUGUAGUAUAAUUUGCAUACAAUAAUGGCACACAUUUAAUGUGCACAGUGUGAUAAAUUUUGACAUAUGUAUACAUCCAUGAAGCCGGCACCACAAUCAAGAUAAUGAACAUCUCGCUUACCGCAGAAGUUUCCUGUGCCCUCUCACUCCUCCGUAUUCCUCCA